Molecule: long non-coding RNA, 3426 nt
Organism: Meriones unguiculatus (Mongolian gerbil)
Lineage: Eukaryota; Metazoa; Chordata; Mammalia; Rodentia; Muridae
Exons: 2
Source: RefSeq, a predicted model, not a curated record
UUAACGUGGCGGUCUGCCCUGGGUGUGUCGCUGGAGCUCCCUUCGGCGUCAUUGCUAGGUCCCCGAGUUUAACUUUUCAGAACCACUCAUUUGUCACUGUUCGCCGGCAGACGGUCCGGUGCCACACACCACCGCUAUUUUCUUAGAUUGUUUUAUUGGGUGUAUGGUUUUUUGAGCAUGAGCGAGUCAUCGAUUCGGGUCAGCUAGGGAAAUAGAAUACAGUCUAGGUUUUUAACAGUAUACCAGCAGCCCUAAUUUCAUAAAUACAUGUUUUUUUUUUUUUUUGUUGUUCUUUUGCUUGAACCAGAAUUUCGUAUUUAAUAGGAAAUCGACUUAGAUUAUUAGAAAAACAUCUUGAGAAAUACUGUUACUGACGUUACAUUCUGACUUUAGAAUUCGUAAUGUUUUCCUCUGUAAUUUUACCGGUCUUUUUUUUUUUUUUUCCUCUUAACCUUCUAGAGUUAUUCGUUCCGAUUGCUGCCCUUUAAAAGUGUUAGUGUAUGUUCGUACAAGAGCGUGUGUGUCUGCACGCGCGCGCAUAUGUGGAUCCUUUAUAUGUACCUAAUUUAUCCUAAUUCAGUUCUUUUAAAUUCAUAGGUAGUUUGGAAAGCUAUGUGCAUUAAGUUCACUUUCCUGUGUUCACUUUUUGGCUUUAUAACUGUGCUGCUGACAUGUAGGUCAGAAAGGUAAACUUACUAGCACUUUUAUUUUAGAAAGGGAGGGAUGUGUAGAGCAUGGAGUAGUGGGGAAGAAAAACAGCCAAUUUCCUAAUUUUUGUUCCCUCUAACCUUAUUAUCCGUUAUCUUUAACAUUACCAAUUUUCCUCGAGCUUUAUGCUAAGACAUGGAGCGUCCAAAGCUUUCCUGUUUUAUGAUGGGUUUAUACACCCGACUUUUACUGUUUAAAAUAGUUUAGUAGCACUAAGCUCUUUCAUUACUAGCUGUAAUUCCUAUGAUGUAAUGAUGGCUUAAUGUAUUAAUUUUCUGUAAAAUUUACAUCUGACAUUUGAUUGGAAGACUAAAAAAUAUUUAUAUGGAGACCUUUAGGCCAGAUUUGCUUUUUCUGGAUGUCGUGAUAUUAAGUGGGCAAGGAAUAUUUAAAGAAACAACAAAUUUUGGUUCCUGAGUCCUGACUAUCACCCUGUCUUGGUUUAGAAGCAUCUCAGUAUUGUUUUGGAGAAAAAUCACAGGUAGGUAACCUUUUAAAAUCGGUGACAUUUCUUUCAUGAAGAUUAGAAGACCUUUGCCCAUUAUUACUUGCAAACAUGAGCCAUCCAUGGAUAUUUCUGCUUUCUGUAUUAAUAAACCAAGAAUAUUUAAAUACAUAUAAACAUGUUUUUUUUUUUAAAGGUUACAUAAAUGAGACUUGUAAUUUGUGUUGGUGAAACAAAUGAAAAUAGAGUUUAGUAAAAAAAAAAAUCACAUAAAUUUGAGGACAAAAGUCCUGUGGCAAUUCAAAGGUUUUCUUGGUUUACUCUGCAUUAGAAAGGUGUCGGUGAUUAUCCUUGCCUCCUGCCAGCCUUUACCUUUUUGUCUGUUCAUUUGUUACUACUUGGGGAUUAUGCCAUAUACUCGUAUUUGUAUGUACUUACCGCAAAAAGAGAAGAUAAAUAUCCAUUGUGCUUAUGUGACUUUUAUUUCUCUGACAGCUUGUCAGAAUCAGCUGUCUUGCAGAUUGUUUUUUAGAUACUGCACUUAAUUUGAGAACAAGCUGGGUUUGAUUCUCUGCAUUAUUGUUCUUAUGAAAUAUCAGUAAACCACCCUAACAUCAGUCUACUGUUGAUAACUACCAUUUUAAACUUUGAAAUCAGAUGAGAGUUAACAUAAUUAGCACAGUGGCUUAGAUUAGUAAAGUCAUCUCAUCUUCAUUUUUGGUUGCAGCUAUGGUUUAAAAGUCAUUUUAAAAUCAUUCUGUCUUAGCUGGGUGCAGCACAUGCUUUUAAUCUUAGGUAGAGGCAAGUGCAUUUCUGUGAGUUUGGGGCCAGCCUGGUCCACAAAUCAAGUUCCAGGACAGCCAGGACUGUUACACAGAGAAACUCGGUCUUGAAAAACCCUCCUAAAAAAAAAAAAAAAAAAAAAAAAGAAAGAAAGAAAGAAAAGAAAAAAAAAAUCACCUUCUCUCUCCUUUCUCUUUUUGGUACUGAGUAUUGAACCCAAGGCUCUACUACUGAAACUAUGUCACUGGCUGAUAUAAAAUUUUGCCUGGAGAGAGGAUCUUGCAAAGUGCUCUCAAUUCUGUCUCAGCCUCCGUUAGGACUGUAGGCAUUUGGCACCAUACUCAAAACAAAUGCAGGUUUUUUUUCUUUCUUUUCUUUUGUCUUUUUUUUUUAAGAUUUACUUUUAUUAAUUUUAGUUAUGUAUGUGUGUGUAAGCAUGUAUUCACAUGAGUGCCCCAGGAAAUCAGGGAUGUCAGAUUCCCCAGGGCUUGAGUUACAAGGCCUGCUGACCUGGGUGCUGGUAAUCAAAUUCGGGUCCUUCGGAAGAACAGUAUGCACACACAACAGCAGAGCCAUCCUCUCUAUCCCAAACAGUUCCUUGUUUAUUUUUCCUUCUACCACUGAGCUAUUGUAUUGGCAAGUGGUACAUAAAAAUAGUUAGUAGUAACAUCCUGAAAAACUUUAGAAUUAGAUUGGGUAAGCAGGUAUUGAUUUGAUCCUUAUUAUGCUAUAGAAGUGGGAAGGAUUCUGUCUAAGAGAUAGUUAAUGACCUAGCUAAAUUGAUUUUACUCCUUUUCGGUUGUUAGGUUACUUUUUGUUGGUUAUUGAAUUUAUUCCCUUUGCAGAUGUCUGCAAUGCCUUUAGUAUUUAUUUGGUUUUUAUUACUAUAGUUGUACCUUUAGGUGGCUCACCUGGAAUAUAGAUAAUGGCACUUAUGCACAUUGAAUGCAUAAGUGGACAGGGAGAAUAAAUCUGGCUUCACCUAGAAGGUGUGUUGAAUUGGGGUCAAGUUGAAGAACAGAAGCCUAGAUACAAAGCUGCAUAAAUUGUGAUGAGCAGGGAAAAGGUAAGAUUGGAAAGGUAAGCACAGGUCACAUAAUAAAGGCAUUCAUUCUGAGGACUUUGGGCUCUAAUGAAAAUUAAAGAGAAUGAUUUGAAGUUUUAUAACCUAAAGAUUACUUUGGCAGCAGCAUGGGCGUGGCUUGUGGACGAUAGAAAACCCAAAAUACCUUAUCAAUUCAGAUUCCUCUCAUGGGCAGUAAAACAGUGGGAGUACGUUAGAAUGUUUUCAAAUGAAAAAAAGACUGAAUUCUGUCGACUGCAGAUAGAACACCAUUUCAAGAGUUGAAGAAAAAGGAGUUAGGAAAUAUUAACCAAUGUAGAUAAAUGAGGAGACAUGAGAGUUACAGAAGCUGAGACAACAGUGGUGUACAGUGUUACAUGCUGCAGAGAAAUCAGAAACUAAUAAAGAGAAGAUUUCUUCCUGAUUA